AGUGAACGCUGGCGGUAGGCCUAACACAUGCAAGUCGAACGGCAGCACAGUAAGAGCUUGCUCUUACGGGUGGCGAGUGGCGGACGGGUGAGGAAUACAUCGGAAUCUACUUUUUCGUGGGGGAUAACGUAGGGAAACUUACGCUAAUACCGCAUACGACCUACGGGUGAAAGCAGGGGAUCUUCGGACCUUGCGCGAUUGAAUGAGCCGAUGUCGGGUUAGCUAGUUGGCGGGGUAAAGGCCCACCAAGGCGACGAUCCGUAGCUGGUCUGAGAGGAUGAUCAGCCACACUGGAACUGAGACACGGUCCAGACUCCUACGGGAGGCAGCAGUGGGGAAUAUUGGACAAUGGGCGCAAGCCUGAUCCAGCCAUACCGCGUGGGUGAAGAAGGCCUUCGGGUUGUAAAGCCCUUUUGUUGGGAAAGAAAAGCAGCAGGUGAAUACCCCGCUGUUCUGACGGUACCCAAAGAAUAAGCACCGGCUAACUUCGUG
This 492-nucleotide ribosomal RNA is filed under the name uncultured bacterium. Its description in RNAcentral is "partial 16S ribosomal RNA". It matches the Rfam family "Bacterial small subunit ribosomal RNA", at positions 29 to 507 of the family's 1533-position model. The record is from RNAcentral.